RNAcentral lists this ribosomal RNA (351 nucleotides) under Placobdella nuchalis. RNAcentral's name for it is "partial 12S ribosomal RNA". It matches the Rfam family "Bacterial small subunit ribosomal RNA", at positions 874 to 1384 of the family's 1533-position model. The record is from RNAcentral. Lineage: Eukaryota; Metazoa; Annelida; Clitellata; Rhynchobdellida; Glossiphoniidae.
UUCUAUUAAUAGCCUAUUUAAAGGGUUGGAAAAUACGAACAAUAGUUUAAACACCAAAGAAUUUGGCGGUGUCUUAAAUAAUUAGGGGAACCUGUCCCUUAAAUCGAUAAUCCACGAAAGUCUUACCUAAUUUUGAAACUCAGUUAGUGUACUGCCGUCUUAAGUAUACCUUUAUGAGUGUAUACGAAAAAUUACUAAGAUUAAUUUAACGUCAGGUCAAAGUGCAGCUUAUAAUUAGGAGGAGAUGGGUUACAAUCUUUAUAAAGAUACAAAUAUUAUCAAUAAAAUGGUUUUUGAAGGUGGACUUAACAGUAAUUACUUAUAAUGGAAUGAAAAAUAUAUAAGACAAGU